UACGUAGGGGGCAAGCGUUAUCCGGAUUUACUGGGUGUAAAGGGAGCGCAGACGGCAGUGCAAGUCUGGAGUGAAAGCCCGGGGCUCAACUCCGGGACUGCUUUUGAAACUGUGUGACUGGAGUGCAGGAGAGGUAAGCGGAAUUCCUGGUGUAGCGGUGAAAUGCGUAGAUAUCAGGAGGAACACCGGUGGCGAAGGCGGCCUGCUGGACAGUAACUGACGUUGAGGCUCGAAAGCGUGGGGAGCAAACAGG
Molecule: ribosomal RNA, 253 nt
Filed under: uncultured Lachnospiraceae bacterium
Lineage: Bacteria; Bacillati; Bacillota; Clostridia; Lachnospirales; Lachnospiraceae
Description: partial 16S ribosomal RNA
Rfam family: Bacterial small subunit ribosomal RNA
Source: RNAcentral